GAACCAGUCUCAGAAUCAACCUGUGCAAGCCUUGGAAAGGUUGGAAACGAAGGAGUGUCGUGGAGUGGUGCCUUUGAUGAGGAGGCAUCUGCAAAGUCUUUUCAGGAAGCUUUGCUUCUGGGGUCCCAUCAGAACCUGUGGGGAUUUGUGAGGUGCAGACCAAUGUUACUGCUCUGAAGGAACCCAUCCAUGUGGAAUUCCAGAAGGAUGGCCUGAGCUACAUGGAGAAACUCCUGCUGAAGAAAUACAGGAGGACACCUGUUGAUCAAUUUUUUGCAAGUUGCAUGAAAGAUUCAAGGCCUGUGCAAUCCCCGAGUGUUCAUCAGGCUGGAGAAGGGGGACAAGGAGAUGAUGAUGAUGAUGACAUUGAAGAGUUAACAGAUGAAGAGGUGAAGAAAUACUGGGCAUCUGUUUAUAGAGGUGAAGAAUCCAACACUGUUUCUGCAAAUGCUGAGACAUCUUUGAAAAUUGAGUUCCUUGAUGAUUCUCAUAGCAAAGACUUGGAAGAAUCUUCAGACCCUCCAGUGGUUCUAACUGGAGCUGUGGGGAUGAGUAAGCAAGGAAAAACUGACCCACUGGAGUGUGAAAGCAAUCCUGUUUCUCCUAAAGAAACUUUUCAAGAAAAACUGAUUGUCUGCAGUGAUCUUGAAAUAAAUGCAGUGCAGGAGGAGAGUAUUGAACCAAAGGCUAGGAGAAGAUCACUGAGCUCCUGUGAACCUCCUGAGGAGAUCUCUGCCCCCACUGAAGGAGGGAGCAAAGAGCUCAUUGGGACUGAGCUGAAGAGCAGCAGAGAUCUCCUGGAGACAGAACUGCAGCACAGCAGGAGAGAGCCACAAGAACCAGGCAGUGCCUGCAAUACUCAGAGUUUGGUCUUGCCUGUAAUUACAAAAUCUUCAGCAUUACAGGAUGUAGCCAAAAGACAGAAAUGUGGUUCUACAUCAUAUCAAGGGCUUGAAGGUUUCUUUGUUAUAGGAACAAACCUUAAACAGGGAAAGCUGGAGGCACCUUCUUCCCUGGCUGCUGCCUCCAGCCCUAGGGACAGGAGGAUCCCUUCUCCAGGAGAUGGGCAGUGGGUUUCUGAAAGGAGCUUAGGUGAAUAUGCUGAUGAUUCUAUAGUUCAAGGUGUCUUGGAAAGUCAACUGAACAGGGCUGCAAAUGCUUUCCAGGCUCAAAAUCAACUUUCUUCUCUGAUGGCAGCAUGGAUGCCAUGGCCAGGCCCUGAAAAUCAUUCCAACUUAACUUGUGAAGAUGGAACCUCCUCCAGCAGAGCCUGGGAGAAGAUCUUUGGAAAUGCAGAUUUCCAGGACACCCUGAAGCUGAAAGACCAUGAAAAAUUUAAUAUUUUUGGGGACUGGGAGGAAAGCCAAAUGGAUGAUGAGGAAACAAUUCUGGAGGACAAACAGCAGGUUCUGGCAUUGCAGUGAACAUGGAAAACUCAGCUCAGUCUCCACCUUUGUUAGGUUCAGAACCAAGAAGAUCCAAGAGGUGUUUUAAAUGUUGCUCAAGACAUCAUUUACAAAGGAAUAUUCUGUAAACUUGUCAUUAAAACUUCUUGAAAAUACUUUGAGUUGGCUUUUUUUUUUGUUUUUGCUAUGAAGAAAUAACAGAAUAAAAGAAAACUGCUCUUGUGCUGCUUGUUUUUA
Cyanistes caeruleus (blue tit) is the source of this 1643-nucleotide long non-coding RNA. NCBI's taxonomy places the organism in Eukaryota, Metazoa, Chordata, Aves, Passeriformes, Paridae. The record is from Ensembl.